CUCGGACCGCGACCCCAGGUCAGGCGGGGCCACCCGCCGAGUUUAAGCAUAUAAAUAAGCGGAGGAGAAGAAACUUACGAGGAUUCCCCUAGUAACGGCGAGCGAACCGGGAAGUGCCCAGCUUGAGAAUCGGGCGGCUCUGCCUCCCGAAUUGUAGUCUGUAGAGGCGUCCUCAGCGGCGGACCGGGCGCAAGUCCCCUGGAAGGGGGCGCCGGAGAGGGUGAGAGCCCCGUCGCGCCCGGACCCUGUCGCAGCACGAGGCGACCUCGGCG
This 272-nucleotide ribosomal RNA is filed under the name Landoltia punctata. RNAcentral's name for it is "partial 26S ribosomal RNA". It matches the Rfam family "Eukaryotic large subunit ribosomal RNA", at positions 1 to 262 of the family's 3401-position model. Lineage: Eukaryota; Viridiplantae; Streptophyta; Magnoliopsida; Alismatales; Araceae. The record is from RNAcentral.